GGGUGGAUGUCCGAAUGGCUAAGGGACCGGUCUUGAAAACCGGCGAAAUCGCAAGAUGUCUGGGUUCGAAUCCCAGUUCACCCGCCA
Molecule: transfer RNA, 87 nt
Filed under: Leptotrichiaceae bacterium
Lineage: Bacteria; Fusobacteriati; Fusobacteriota; Fusobacteriia; Fusobacteriales; Leptotrichiaceae
Description: tRNA-Ser
Rfam family: tRNA
About the family: Transfer RNA (tRNA) molecules are approximately 80 nucleotides in length. Their secondary structure includes four short double-helical elements and three loops (D, anti-codon, and T loops). Further hydrogen bonds mediate the characteristic L-shaped molecular structure. tRNAs have two regions of fundamental functional importance: the anti-codon, which is responsible for specific mRNA codon recognition, and the 3' end, to which the tRNAs corresponding amino acid is attached (by aminoacyl-tRNA synthetases). tRNAs cope with the degeneracy of the genetic code in two manners: having more than one tRNA (with a specific anti-codon) for a particular amino acid; and 'wobble' base-pairing, i.e. permitting non-standard base-pairing at the 3rd anti-codon position.
Source: RNAcentral